CCUACGGGAGGCUGCAGUGGGGAAUAUUGGGCAAUGGGCGCAAGCCUGACCCAGCAACGCCGCGUGAAGGAAGAAGGCUUUCGGGUUGUAAACUUCUUUUAAGAGGGAAGAGCAGAAGACGGUACCUCUUGAAUAAGCCACGGCUAACUACGUGCCAGCAGCCGCGGUAAUACGUAGGUGGCAAGCGUUGUCCGGAUUUACUGGGUGUAAAGGGCGUGUAGCCGGGCUGACAAGUCAGAUGUGAAAUUCCGGGGCUCAACCCCGGACCUGCAUUUGAAACUGUUGGUCUUGAGUAUCGGAGAGGCAGGCGGAAUUCCUAGUGUAGCGGUGAAAUGCGUAGAUAUUAGGAGGAACACCGAUUGCGAAGGCAGCUUACCAAACUAUAUCUGACGUUGAGGCACGAAAGCGUGGGUAGCAAACAGGAUUAGAUACCCGUGUAGUC
This 442-nucleotide ribosomal RNA is filed under the name uncultured bacterium. RNAcentral's name for it is "partial 16S ribosomal RNA". It matches the Rfam family "Bacterial small subunit ribosomal RNA", at positions 338 to 795 of the family's 1533-position model. The record is from RNAcentral.